This is a small nuclear RNA of Lycium barbarum (goji berry), 195 nucleotides long. RefSeq annotates it as U2 spliceosomal RNA. The record is from RefSeq and is a predicted model, not a curated record. The transcript has a single exon. NCBI's taxonomy places the organism in Eukaryota, Viridiplantae, Streptophyta, Magnoliopsida, Solanales, Solanaceae.
AUACCUUUCUCGGCCUUUUGGCUAAGAUCAAGUGUAGUAUCUGUUCUUAUCAGUUUAAUAUCUAAUAUGUGGGUCAUUGAUUCACACGAUAUUAACUUAAUUUUUUAAGCGGGGAGCCCGUUAAGGUAGCUUGCUACCUGGGCUCUCGAGUGUCGCUCAUGCGUUGCACUACCGCAUGGGCCUGGCGCACCCUAC